Felis catus (domestic cat) is the source of this 490-nucleotide long non-coding RNA. RefSeq lists it as uncharacterized. The transcript has 3 exons. The record is from RefSeq and is a predicted model, not a curated record. Lineage: Eukaryota; Metazoa; Chordata; Mammalia; Carnivora; Felidae.
UUGAGGUCGAUAGAGCGAUUGAAAUCAGCUGGCUGAACGUGGGACGCAUCCCGGAACGGCGAGCAAGUGCAGUUCUUGCCGGAAGCAGCUCCUGUGAGGAUCAGGGUGCAGAGCUGGGUCUUCAGCAUCCGACUUUUGUGAUGGGUUUAGGAUUUGAGGACCCCUCCAUCUCUCAGAAGAAAUGUCCACCCCAGAUGAAGGAGAUGUGAACGGUCCCACCCAGAACCCAACUUCAUCUUGACCCCUAUUCUGGGAGGUCUCCUGCUCCCUAUCCCUUCAUUUCUUCUCAUUGGACCCGGAACCGAUUGCCUCCAUACACAGUUGCUUAUACCCAGCAUGCAGCACUGGAGUUGGCACGUAACAGGAGCCUGAUAAGUAUUUGCAGAGAAGUGAAUGAAAUGAAAAGCUACACUUACACAACAAGUACCUCCUGAUGUUUCCUGGUGACAGGCAGCUUCUGUUCUGAGAAUACAAUGGACUUUGUCUCUUA